AUGGACGAUCUGAAGUUGCUGAUGCGGAUUAAAGAUUUCUCCACCUCGUGUGUUCUCUGCUUCACUGAAACCUGGUUCAGGAAAGAGACACCGGACAGCGCGCUCCUCCUCGAGGGAUUCCAGCUGUUCCGUGCCGACCGCGACCUGGCGCUCUCUGGGGAGAGAGCAGGCGGUGGAGUCUGCUUCUACAUCAACAGCGACUGGUGCACUGAUGUGACUGUGAUCUCCCAGCACUGUUCUCCUGCUGUGGAAUACCUCUUCAUCAACUGCAGACCCUUCUAUUCUCCGCGUGAGUUCGCUUCAUUCAUUCUGGCCACUGUUUACAUCUCGCCAGACGCGGACGCGCGCGAGGCUCAGCGCACGCUCGCGGACUGUAUUCAACAAGUGGAGCGGACCCAUCCCGACGCUCUGGUUAUCGUGCUUGGUGACUUUAAUCAGAGCAACCUGAGAUACGAGCUCCCCAGGUACAAACAGUUUAUCAAAUGCCCCACCAGAGCAGAGAACACGCUGGAUCACUGCUACACCACAGUGAAGGACGCGUAUCGGGCCGUCCCCCGUGCUGCGCUAGGACUGUCUGAUCACGUGAUGGUCCACCUGAUCCCCACAUACAGACAGAAACUGAAACUAACAAAGCCAGCCGUGAGCACCACGAAGAGAUGGACCAGUGAGGCUGUGGAGGAGCUGCGCACGUGCUUGGACACAACUGACUGGGACAUGUUUAAAGGGGCCACACAUGAUCUGGAUGAGUACACGGACACUGUGACCUCAUAUAUCCACUUUUGUGAGGAGUGCAUUCUACCAAUGCGCACUAGGGUGAGUUAUUCCAAUGACAAGCCCUGGUUCACACCGAGACUCAGACAGAUCAGGAAAGAAAAGGAAGCAGCGCUGAAAAGUGGAGACAGAGACUGCUACAGAGAGGCCAAAUACCGGUUUAGCAAGGAACUGAGGAGAGCUAAAUCUGUGUAUUCGGAGAAACUUCAGCAGCAGUUUACUGCUAACGACUCUGCUUCUGUGUGGAGAGGCCUGAGGCAGAUCACCGACUACAGGCCUCAGGCUUCAAAGGGUCAGGACGACAAAGCCCUUUGUCAGAGUCUGUCCCUCCACUAUGCCCGCUUUGAUACCUCGUCAGCCAUGCCCAACACCUCCCCUCCCCCCAGUGCCACUGCCCCCAUGGACCUCACUCCAUCAAAGGCAGUCCCCUCCCCCCCCCCCCCCCCCCCUCCACUCACCAUCAGUGAACAGGAUGUCGCAGGCAGUUCGCCAGGUUGA
Molecule: long non-coding RNA, 1269 nt
Filed under: Takifugu rubripes (torafugu)
Lineage: Eukaryota; Metazoa; Chordata; Actinopteri; Tetraodontiformes; Tetraodontidae
Description: lncRNA (ENSTRUG00000031173.1)
Source: RNAcentral